ACUCAAAUGAAUUGACGGGGGCCCGCACAAGCGGUGGAGCAUGUUGUUCAAUUCGACGCAACGCGAAGAACCUUACCUGGGUUAAAUCCGCCUGAAUCCUGCAGAGAUGUGGGAGUGCCCUUCGGGGAGCGGGUGAGAAGGUGCUGCAUGGCUGUCGUCAGCUCGUGUCGUGAGAUGUUGGGUUAAGUCCCGCAACGAGCGCAACCCUUGUCAUUAGUUGGCAUCAGUUCGGCUGGCCACUCUAACGAGACUGCCGGCGUUAAGCCGGAGGAAGGUGGGGAUGACGUCAAGUCCUCAUGGCCCUUAUGCCCAGGGCUACAAACGUGCUACAAUGGCCGGUACAAAGGGUUGCGAACUCGCAAGGGGAAGCCAAUCUCAAAAAACCGGUCUCAGUUCGGAUUGGAGUCUGCAACUCGACUCCAUGAAGUUGGAAUCGCUAGUAAUCGCUGAUCAGCAGGCAGCGGUGAAUACGUUCCCGGGCCUUGUACACACCGCCCGU
RNAcentral lists this ribosomal RNA (499 nucleotides) under uncultured bacterium. RNAcentral's name for it is "partial 16S ribosomal RNA". It matches the Rfam family "Bacterial small subunit ribosomal RNA", at positions 899 to 1397 of the family's 1533-position model. The record is from RNAcentral.